GAUGAAGAACGUAGUGAAAUGCGAUAAGUAGUGUGAAUUGCAGAAUUCCGUGAAUCAUCGAAUCUUUGAACGCACAUUGCGCCUUCUGGUAUUCCGGAAGGCAUGCCUGUUCGAGAGUCAUUAACAACCGUUUCGAUCCCUUUCUUUCAGAAAUUACAAAGAGGAAAAGGGUUUGGUUAUGGUGGAGGAGGGAAAGGGAGCGUUUAGCCUGUAAAAAAAGAGGCUGUGUUCCGCCGCCCCCCCAAAAUUGUACAGGCGGUCGUGUGCGCCCACGCGUCGAGGUGUUGUAAAAGCUGCCACGGCACUUUUCACCUGUGCAGUGCGAGAUUGGCCAGCCGGUUUAAAAACCCCUCCAAACAAUCAAAGGUUGACCUCGGAUCAGGUAGGGAUACCCGCUGAACUUAAGCAUAUCAAUAAGCGGAGGA
This 425-nucleotide unclassified non-coding RNA is filed under the name soil metagenome. RNAcentral's name for it is "partial contains 5.8S ribosomal RNA, internal transcribed spacer 2, and large subunit ribosomal RNA". The stretch from base 1 to 120 matches the Rfam family "5.8S ribosomal RNA", at positions 35 to 154 of the family's 154-position model. The record is from RNAcentral.